CAGUGAGAAGAUGAACUGAUGUUUCAAUAGGCUGCGAGCAAACUGGAGGCAGCAGACAGAUUUGGUUCUUCUCUCCUGCUGUCGCUGCCCCUAAAAGAGGAGACGGAGCAGGCCGUGAACCAACCUUUGCUCCACAGUGGUUGCGAGAAGAGGCUGCUGGUGCUGCCAUCUGCGCCUCGGAGCCGUGCUUCACACCUGGCUGCCCCUCCGGCCUGCUAGUCUGAGCUCAUUAACUUCCUGCAGGGGCACGGAGAGAGCAGCUGCAUAAAGGCCCGUCCCAGCGGAGACAGCGCCGCAGCCAGCGAACUGAUAAAGCAGGCGGGAGAGGAAGCAGCCGCAGCAUCUGUGGAGCCAGGGUGGAAAAUCUGACACUGUGGAUUAGCUGAUGCCGUGGCAGCAAAAAAAAAGGGAGGUCGGUAUACGGCUGGGAGCUGCGAGGGGGCCGACGGGGCCUUGUGCUCCUGAGCAAACACAGGCAAAUGCUCGCGUGGGCUUGUGUGUGUGCACGCGCGCAUAUGGCUGCGCUGUGCCGUGCCACGCCAGCUAAUUGUAGGUUCCCACAAGAAAGCCAAUAGAGAAGAAUUUCUAACCGUUGUGAUGUGGUCAUCUUGUUCUUGUAAAAGAAAAGCUGGUCUCUUUGUUUCGUGCUGGGGUUUUUGUUUUUUUUUUUCUUUUUGGUUCAAGAAUCCUUGUAAUGAAAUAAUGCUGUGAUUGUAUCUGUAGGGUUUUGUCACUGGAAGCUGUAUAUGCGUUUCCUCCCUAAGUCAUCGCCGGCGCAGUUUGGACAAAGAAUUGCGGUUUCUAGAUGUGUUAGUCAACACGAGCAGACUCCAGUUAGCCAUUGCCAUUUUCUGAAAAGGUCAGAUCGAUCUCUGCUACCUACUGGAGAAUUAAUGGCUACUCAGACUUUCACUUUGGAAAAGUCAUUGCAUCCUGUCUUAAACACAGUUCUCGUUUGUGCUGUUCCAAUCAAAUUCCAGUUCACUGGGACUUGUUCUAUUCAAAUGGCCGUGCUGCUUAAAAAGAAGAGUUCGGGGAUUAUUUGGAUUUUUAAAGACUGUGGUUACAACCUGCAGGAGUUAUAGCGUGAAGCAGACAUUACUGUUGAGCCAGGGUUUGGGUACAGAUGUAGAUGCAUGCAAAGACCACAGCUGUGUAGCGCUGCUGUGCAAAAUCUCUGCACGUGAGCUUGUCGUGAUGGUUGGCGAGAAAGCAAAAGGUGCUUUUGCUGCACUGCUGUGUCUAAAGCAAAAAGCCUUCUGCUUGCUUUGUGUGGGGGUUAGGCAAAGGCCUCUAUAAGAAUUGACCUGACCGCAACCGUGGGGAGAGAAGAAGAAA
Molecule: long non-coding RNA, 1338 nt
Filed under: Apteryx owenii (little spotted kiwi)
Lineage: Eukaryota; Metazoa; Chordata; Aves; Apterygiformes; Apterygidae
Description: lncRNA (ENSAOWG00000007510.1)
Source: RNAcentral